RNAcentral lists this ribosomal RNA (472 nucleotides) under uncultured bacterium. Its description in RNAcentral is "SSU rRNA". It matches the Rfam family "Bacterial small subunit ribosomal RNA", at positions 26 to 518 of the family's 1533-position model. The record is from RNAcentral.
AGGAUAAACGCUGGCGGCGUGCAUGAGACAUGCAAGUCGAACGGACGAUCAGGGCUUGCUCUGAUCGUUAGUGGCGGACGGCUGAGUAACGCGUAGGUGACCUGCCCCGAAGUGGGGAAUAACUGCCCGAAAGGGUGGCUAAUACCGCAUGUGGUGGUGUGUUCAUUCACACCAGUAAAGCCGCAAGGCGCUUCGGGAGGGGCCUGCGUCCGAUUAGCUCGUUGGUGGGGUAACGGCUCACCAAGGCGACGAUCGGUAGGUGGUCUGAGAGGACGAUCACCCAGACUGGGACUGAGACACGGCCCAGACUCCUACGGGAGGCAGCAGUCGGGAAUUUUGCGCAAUGGACGAAAGUCUGACGCAGCAACGCCGCGUGAGGGAUGAAGGCCUUCGGGUUGUAAACCUCUUUAUCAGGGAAGAUAAUGACGGUACCUGAUGAAUAAGUCACGGCUAACUACGUGCCAGCAGCCGC